GGGGUUGUUGCUCAGUGGCAGAGCACUCGCCUAGCAAGUGUGAGGCACUGGGUUCAAUGCUCAGCACCACA
Molecule: transfer RNA, 71 nt
Filed under: Marmota monax (woodchuck)
Lineage: Eukaryota; Metazoa; Chordata; Mammalia; Rodentia; Sciuridae
Description: tRNA.Ala
Rfam family: tRNA
About the family: Transfer RNA (tRNA) molecules are approximately 80 nucleotides in length. Their secondary structure includes four short double-helical elements and three loops (D, anti-codon, and T loops). Further hydrogen bonds mediate the characteristic L-shaped molecular structure. tRNAs have two regions of fundamental functional importance: the anti-codon, which is responsible for specific mRNA codon recognition, and the 3' end, to which the tRNAs corresponding amino acid is attached (by aminoacyl-tRNA synthetases). tRNAs cope with the degeneracy of the genetic code in two manners: having more than one tRNA (with a specific anti-codon) for a particular amino acid; and 'wobble' base-pairing, i.e. permitting non-standard base-pairing at the 3rd anti-codon position.
Source: RNAcentral